RNAcentral lists this transfer RNA (73 nucleotides) under Ovis aries (sheep). It matches the Rfam family "tRNA". Rfam says of the family: Transfer RNA (tRNA) molecules are approximately 80 nucleotides in length. The record is from Rfam by way of RNAcentral. Lineage: Eukaryota; Metazoa; Chordata; Mammalia; Artiodactyla; Bovidae.
UCCCUGGCAGUCCAGUGGUUAAGACUCUGCACUUCCACUGCAGGGGCCAAGGGUUCUAUUCCUGGUUAGGGAA